This 253-nucleotide ribosomal RNA is filed under the name uncultured bacterium. Its description in RNAcentral is "partial 16S ribosomal RNA". It matches the Rfam family "Bacterial small subunit ribosomal RNA", at positions 524 to 776 of the family's 1533-position model. The record is from RNAcentral.
UACGUAGGGCGCAAGCGUUAUCCGGAAUUAUUGGGCGUAAAGAGCGUGUAGGCGGCCAGGUAGGUCUGCUGUGAAAACUCGAGGCUUAACCUCGAGCUGUCGGCGGAAACCAUCUGGCUAGAGUCCGGAAGAGGAGAAUGGAAUUCCCGGUGUAGCGGUGAAAUGCGCAGAUAUCGGGAAGAACACCCGUGGCGAAGGCGGUUCUCUGGGACGGUACUGACGCUGAGACGCGAAAGCGUGGGGAGCGAACAGG